This 338-nucleotide long non-coding RNA is filed under the name Salmo trutta (river trout). RNAcentral's name for it is "lncRNA (ENSSTUG00000051127.1)". The record is from RNAcentral. Lineage: Eukaryota; Metazoa; Chordata; Actinopteri; Salmoniformes; Salmonidae.
GUGGCGGCAGGCAUGCACCUUAAACGUGUUUGCGGACGGCCAUUAUACCAUAAAGAAGAAGAAACAAUGAAGCCAAAGAUUUAUUUUUAAGCGAAUUGAACGCACCCCAAUCGGUGGGGCGAAACAGAAACUGUCAGCUGAAGAAUAGAGGAUGCGUGUUGAACCCACUGCAACUGGACACGGACAUUUAUAAGGCACCCUUUCACCGAUCGAGAACGAAGACGGUGUCGCAAGAGCAGGUUAGUUGAAAAAUCAAUUUCAACGUUUUGUAUAAGCUAACGUUAACCUGUAAUGGAAACAUGGUUAUUACAUAUCUGGCGUACAUAUAGCUUACAUAA